CAGCUUUCCUUUUGAUGUUUUUGAACAUUUGACCAUAAUACAACUGAAACCACACAAGUAAAGUUGCAGAUAAGCAGACUACUGUAUUCAAGAAAAAUACAAUAAAAACUGAAGAUUGUAGAAGCAGGAUGCUGUGCAACAGAGGUGCAUUGUGUCUGGAAUUUCACAGUUUCCUACAGGGGCAGAAACGCUGAGCAGACCUUUAGUCUUCCUUAGAUGUCCUGGACCCUUAAGAUAAAGGCGGCAUCUGUGUUCCAAGGCAGCCACUUUCAGGAGUGAGAGAGAUGAUUUGUCAAAAUGCUUUGUAAAUUCACAAGAUUUUUGUUGGUGUUUGACAUGAGUCCUUCUGUGUGCUUCUGAAUUAAAGGGGUUAAGUUCCAAGACCAAGGAUCAUUUUCUGUUUUGGUAAUCAGCAGAUCUCGAUGUUUUCAACGUUGCUGACUUUUCCUAAAUACUUCAUAAAUAUCUGUGAACUAUCUGAGCUGCAAUAAUGCCUGUAUUGAUGUCCACUUGUUAAAACCUAUGAGCUGAACCUCUCUUGCUGCAUAAGUACCUAUAUGAAGGUAAUUAAAUGCAUUCAACCAUU
Molecule: long non-coding RNA, 586 nt
Organism: Heterocephalus glaber (naked mole-rat)
Lineage: Eukaryota; Metazoa; Chordata; Mammalia; Rodentia; Bathyergidae
Source: RefSeq, a predicted model, not a curated record